UGGGGGAUAUUGCACAAUGGGCGAAAGCCUGAUGCAGCGACGCCGCGUGGGGGAUGAAGGCCUUCGGGUUGUAAACUUCUUUUGCUCUGAACAAGGCAUGCCUUUGGGGUGUGUUGAGUGUAGGGGUUGAUUAGCGCCGGCUAACUACGUGACAGCAGCCGCGGUAAUACGUAGGGCGCGAGCGUUGUCCGGAAUUAUUGGGCGUAAAGGUCUUGUAGGUGGCUGGUUGCGUCUGUCGUGAAAGCUCAUGGCUUAACUGUGGGUUUGCGGUGGGUACGGGCUGGCUUGAGUGCAGUAGGGGAGGCUGGAAUUCCUGGUGUAGCGGUGGAAUGCGCAGAUAUCAGGAGGAAUACCGGUGGCGAAGGCGGGUCUCUGGGCUGUUACUGACGCUGAGGAGCGAAAGCGUGGGGAGCGAACAGG
This 420-nucleotide ribosomal RNA is filed under the name Fusobacteriota bacterium. RNAcentral describes it as "Fusobacteria bacterium partial 16S ribosomal RNA". It matches the Rfam family "Bacterial small subunit ribosomal RNA", at positions 355 to 776 of the family's 1533-position model. Lineage: Bacteria; Fusobacteriati; Fusobacteriota. The record is from RNAcentral.